AUGCAAGUCGAACGGGAAAGGCCCUUCGGGGUACUCGAGUGGCGAACGGGUGAGUAACACGUGGGUGAUCUGCCCUGCACUCUGGGAUAAGCCUGGGAAACUGGGUCUAAUACCGGAUAGGACCACACACUUCAUGGUGAGUGGUGCAAAGCUUUUGCGGUGUGGGAUGAGCCCGCGGCCUAUCAGCUUGUUGGUGGGGUAAUGGCCCACCAAGGCGACGACGGGUAGCCGGCCUGAGAGGGUGACCGGCCACACUGGGACUGAGAUACGGCCCAGACUCCUACGGGAGGCAGCAGUGGGGAAUAUUGCACAAUGGGCGCAAGCCUGAUGCAGCGACGCCGCGUGAGGGAUGACGGCCUUCGGGUUGUAAACCUCUUUCAAUAGGGACGAAGCGAAAGUGACGGUACCUACAGAAGAAGGACCGGCCAACUACGUGCCAGCAGCCGCGGUAAUACGUAG
RNAcentral lists this ribosomal RNA (459 nucleotides) under Mycobacteroides chelonae. RNAcentral describes it as "bacterial SSU rRNA". It matches the Rfam family "Bacterial small subunit ribosomal RNA", at positions 55 to 530 of the family's 1533-position model. The record is from RNAcentral. Lineage: Bacteria; Bacillati; Actinomycetota; Actinomycetes; Mycobacteriales; Mycobacteriaceae.